This is a long non-coding RNA of Perca fluviatilis (European perch), 1011 nucleotides long. RefSeq lists it as uncharacterized. The transcript is spliced from 4 exons. NCBI's taxonomy places the organism in Eukaryota, Metazoa, Chordata, Actinopteri, Perciformes, Percidae. The record is from RefSeq and is a predicted model, not a curated record.
UAUAUUUUCACACUGCAUAUGAAAGAGAAGGGAAAGCCCGUCUGCCUUCACAAUAAGGGUCGUUGGCCUAUUUGUAGUGGACGUGGCCUUGGGUGCAGCCAGCCAGUGGCAGUCUGAGGCCUCUUUGUAGGCCGCCGAACAUGCACCAAACCACAAAUUAUCAUUGGAGCAAGACAGGCCUCCUGCACCACAACCAGGCCCACCUCUACCUCCCCGAAAGCUUUGGAUUUAUGGCAUGUGUCCAAAUAAACAUGUCUGAACGUUGUGGCAGAGAGGAGCCGUGGUUGACCAUGCAUCUGAGAGAAUCAGAUCUCACACCUGUAUUAGUGAUGCAGCUUGCCUUGAGGAGGGAAAAGAUUUCCAUUCAUAACCAGAGUGAUGAAUAUGGAUGCUACUGUGAUGGACAGAAACACAUGAGGUAGAUCAAGGUAAAAACAUGUCUCUUUGAUAUCAAGAGCCUUUUAAUUUCUGUAAUUACCAAAACUGGCACAGAGGGACUUUGAGCACUGAUGGACAACCAGCUUACCAGGCAAUGGGCAGUUUUUGUAUAUUUGCCCAGUGAGUGAUUUGCAGAAAGACAUCCUUGUAAAGGCCACCGUCAUCCCUCUCUGAGGGCCCUCUGGGUGCUGACACCUCGUGUCUAUCAACUCUAACAUGGCUGUCAGCGCAGAUCACACCAUCCCUGCCAGCCAGUUCUCUCCUACCGCUUGCUGGUAUUAUACAGUAUCAGCGGAGACGACCAAGAGACAAAGAACUAUAGAGCAGACAAAGAUGUCUUUCAGCUAAUAUUGACACACACUCAGUUUCAUUGCAUUUGAGUGCUGAAGUAUAAUCACCAUCAGGGAUAUAAUAUCAAUAAAUGCUGUGCAUUGGUACACGUGGAUCCUGCUGGAGGAUGUUUAUGUGUAGACACUGAUUAUUUAUGUUUCAGCAUGUUACCAUGUUGAGGUAAGGAUUAGAGGAUGGAUACCCGAACCGAGCUCGUCGGGACCCGGUGGUACCCGACGCGCC